GGAAUAUUGGACAAUGGGGGGAACCCUGAUCCAGCCAUGCCGCGUGUGUGAAGAAGGCCUUUUGGUUGUAAAGCACUUUAAGCGAGGAGGAGGCUACUCUAGUUAAUACCUAGAGAUAGUGGACGUUACUCGCAGAAUAAGCACCGGCUAACUCUGUGCCAGCAGCCGCGGUAAUACAGAGGGUGCGAGCGUUAAUCGGAUUUACUGGGCGUAAAGCGUGCGUAGGUGGCCAAUUAAGUCAAAUGUGAAAUCCCCGAGCUUAACUUGGGAAUUGCAUUCGAUACUGGUUGGCUAGAGUAUGGGAGAGGAUGGUAGAAUUCCAGGUGUAGCGGUGAAAUGCGUAGAGAUCUGGAGGAAUACCGAUGGCGAAGGCAGCCAUCUGGCCUAAUACUGACACUGAGGUACGAAAGCAUGGGGAGCAAACAGGAUUAGAUACCCUUG
This 441-nucleotide ribosomal RNA is filed under the name uncultured Acinetobacter sp. RNAcentral's name for it is "bacterial SSU rRNA". It matches the Rfam family "Bacterial small subunit ribosomal RNA", at positions 358 to 790 of the family's 1533-position model. The record is from RNAcentral. Lineage: Bacteria; Pseudomonadati; Pseudomonadota; Gammaproteobacteria; Moraxellales; Moraxellaceae.